GUAACCUUAUAAAUUUUCCUUUGAUCCAAUUACUUCAUAACAAUAUUGCAUUGAACGAAACAACUUGAACAAAUGAACCAAAAAACAAAGGAAAAAUUCAACAAAUCAGUUUCAGUUUUAUCUUCCAAGAGAAAAACUAUGUACAUCAAAUUCAGAUCCCUAAAGUCAUGUAGUUCCCAAGAGCUAUAAACAUAAGAACAUGUAGUUUCUCCAGCUUAACACCAAGAAGAAAAUUUCUCUGAAAACCUGUAGAUGUCAACUUUGACCCAAAAAGCUUCACCUUGUAUGCCAAAACUAAUAGCAAUUGUACAAGUGUUUCCUGUUCAUAUACUCUCUAGAUUUCCAUUUUUUACAACAAAAAUUCACAUAAAAAAUGUUUCUUUAGUGUUGUCAUUUUUCACACAGCGACGAUCCCACUUUCUCCAUUGAUUACCCAAAAUUAAAAUAAAUAACCACAAAAUUGGCAAGUGAUGGAGUGAUCAAUGACAGAAAUCCCAGUGACCUAUAUACCUUCGAUAUCAUUUUCAUGUAUAAGUUUGUUCAGAAGUGUAGUCAGCAGCGCAUCUCUCCUCUCAGCCCUGCUUUCUUCUCUUGUCCGCCUCUGUUCUUCCCUCUCCCUCCAAACCAGCUCAAUCAUUAAUCUCUCUUUCUCAAUUUUCUCCAUUGACUGUCUCCAUUCCAGCUCAAACAACCGUUGCUCAUUCGCACGCUUUUCCAUCAUCUCCCUCCACUGCAUCUCCAUCUGUUGUUGCUGCUGAAAGAACUCCUUGAGCAUUUCCUGAAUACCAAUAAUAUUAGGAUUUGAGGUGCUGGUUACUCUUGAAGGCAUCUCCAUUUGAAAUCUUUCACGCUUCCUCUUCUGGGAAUUGCUUCUAGCUAGCCUCUCCUCCCCACUACCAUCAUCAUCCUCAUCUUCAUCUUCUGAGAGUUCAUCAAAGGAUCUGUCCGCACUCAUUCUCUUUACCCGUUUCUUUGCCCGGGUAGAACCUGCCUCAGAAUCAAAAAGCAACGGCUGCAUGUUCUUUGCUCUUUCAGUAAAUACUGCAUGCAGUUCCUCAAAGAAUGGGCAAUGCAGACCAUUCUCGGGAUCAGAUGUCUCCUUGCCCUGCUUCAUCAAGAAAGAACAAAUGAUGUAUGCAAUAAUGGAACUGCGUAGAAAUUUCAAUACAUAUAUUAUAAAGAGAAAACAAAUUACACCAAAUAAGAAAAUAAACAAUAUAUAAAACCCCUUUUUUUUUAAGAAUUUAAGGUUAGAAAUUUAGCAGGUAGCCAGUACAACUGAUGUAGCAACCAUAGCAUGGCUGGAAAAGUUAUUUCUCCUCUGGAAACUGAAGUUGCACGUGUCAUAUCAUAUCAAAUGUUUCAUAAAUUAUAGUGAAAACGAUCAACAUAAGGAAAUAAAAGACUGAAGCAGCUAAUUGUACACAGCACAUUUCUAAGUAUUUUCAGCAGCAUAUCAUCAAAGAUUGUUACAGGAAAAUCAAAUAGUAGUAAGAUAUUUAAGGAUUUGGGCUCUUAAAUUAGUUACAAAUUUAAUGAUGAGCUGUGGUUGUCAAAAGAAAAGUGCUGCGGUUGUUACAUGGGCUACUAACUAAGGUAGCUGCAUCUUUGCCGGCAGCUCCAACUCCAACCUCCAAGUAUGCCAUUAAUAGCUGUUGAGAAUUGUCCAAUGAAUUCCUUGAUGCUAUAUUUUUUUGGAAGAAAAAAAAUGAAGUUAGCUUAUCAAAUUAUAGUAGUGCCUCCCCUUCCCUAAUCCAUCCCCAAUCAAGUGAUAAUCCAACUUCUAGAAUGAGAUCAUGAAUGGAAUUUCUGACAAAAUAUAAAAGAUGCUAAGAGGUUGAGGGCAAGGUUAACAACUCCACCAACGAACUAAACAUUAUAGAAACAUAACAACCUAUAGAAUAGAUACAUGCUACAACCCUUUCACAGAAGAUUGCUUCAAAUGGGAGAAUUGGCCUUUCAAGCUAUAUGCUUGCAAGAUGCAACCAAGAUUGGCAACUCUGUACUUUAAUAAGCAACCAAGAUUAAUAAAUUAAAAAAUCUUGCUAUUUAAAUGAUUAAGCAAGCAUAUUAAUAAACAACUGCAAAUAUAUAAUAUUUGGGUAAUCAUUCAAAUAGCAUGAUUAUCUCCAAUCAGGUGGCUGUUACAUAUUGUAGGAGAAAGAAGAAAAACAAUGAUAAACAAGUAGGGGGCUCGGGUAGUUAGUAAUUGGAGGGAAAUGUUGUUAGCUUGGAGGGGAAGAUUAGUUUUGGAUAACUGAAUUAGUAAUUGGAGGGA
This 2278-nucleotide unclassified non-coding RNA is filed under the name Hevea brasiliensis (rubber tree). Lineage: Eukaryota; Viridiplantae; Streptophyta; Magnoliopsida; Malpighiales; Euphorbiaceae. The record is from RNAcentral.